This 75-nucleotide transfer RNA is filed under the name compost metagenome. RNAcentral's name for it is "tRNA-Ala". It matches the Rfam family "tRNA". From Rfam's summary of the family: Transfer RNA (tRNA) molecules are approximately 80 nucleotides in length. Their secondary structure includes four short double-helical elements and three loops (D, anti-codon, and T loops). Further hydrogen bonds mediate the characteristic L-shaped molecular structure. tRNAs have two regions of fundamental functional importance: the anti-codon, which is responsible for specific mRNA codon recognition, and the 3' end, to which the tRNAs corresponding amino acid is attached (by aminoacyl-tRNA synthetases). tRNAs cope with the degeneracy of the genetic code in two manners: having more than one tRNA (with a specific anti-codon) for a particular amino acid; and 'wobble' base-pairing, i.e. permitting non-standard base-pairing at the 3rd anti-codon position. The record is from RNAcentral.
GGGGCGUUAGUGAUAGCGGCAGCACAUUGGUCCUGCAAACCAGUAGGAAGGGUUCGAAUCCCUUACGCUCCACCA